UACGUAGGGUGCAAGCGUUGUCCGGAAUUAUUGGGCGUAAAGGGCUCGUAGGCGGUCCAUCGCGUCGGGAGUGAAAAGCUGGGGCUCAACCCCAGUCCUGCUUUCGAUACGGGCAGACUUGAGGCAUGCAGGGGAGAACGGAAUUCCUGGUGUAGCGGUGAAAUGCGCAGAUAUCAGGAGGAACACCGGUGGCGAAGGCGGUUCUCUGGGCAUGUUCUGACGCUGAGGAGCGAAAGUGUGGGGAGCGAACAGG
This 253-nucleotide ribosomal RNA is filed under the name uncultured bacterium. RNAcentral describes it as "partial 16S ribosomal RNA". It matches the Rfam family "Bacterial small subunit ribosomal RNA", at positions 524 to 776 of the family's 1533-position model. The record is from RNAcentral.